Molecule: ribosomal RNA, 502 nt
Filed under: Lactococcus lactis
Lineage: Bacteria; Bacillati; Bacillota; Bacilli; Lactobacillales; Streptococcaceae
Description: bacterial SSU rRNA
Rfam family: Bacterial small subunit ribosomal RNA
Source: RNAcentral
UCAGGACGAACGCUGGCGGCGUGCCUAAUACAUGCAAGUUGAGCGCUGAAGGUUGGUACUUGUACCAACUGGAUGAGCAGCGAACGGGUGAGUAACGCGUGGGGAAUCUGCCUUUGAGCGGGGGACAACAUUUGGAAACGAAUGCUAAUACCGCAUAAAAACUUUAAACACAAGUUUUAAGUUUGAAAGAUGCAAUUGCAUCACUCAAAGAUGAUCCCGCGUUGUAUUAGCUAGUUGGUGAGGUAAAGGCUCACCAAGGCGAUGAUACAUAGCCGACCUGAGAGGGUGAUCGGCCACAUUGGGACUGAGACACGGCCCAAACUCCUACGGGAGGCAGCAGUAGGGAAUCUUCGGCAAUGGACGAAAGUCUGACCGAGCAACGCCGCGUGAGUGAAGAAGGUUUUCGGAUCGUAAAACUCUGUUGGUAGAGAAGAACGUUGGUGAGAGUGGAAAGCUCAUCAAGUGACGGUAACUACCCAGAAAGGGACGGCUAACUACGUGC